Molecule: ribosomal RNA, 456 nt
Filed under: uncultured bacterium
Lineage: Bacteria
Description: bacterial SSU rRNA
Rfam family: Bacterial small subunit ribosomal RNA
Source: RNAcentral
UACGGAAGGCAGCAGUGGGGAAUAUUGCACAAUGGGCGCAAGCCUGAUGCAGCCAUGCCGCGUGUAUGAAGAAGGCCUUCGGGUUGUAAAGUACUUUCAGCGGGGAGGAAGGCGAUGUGGUUAAUAACCGCGUCGAUUGACGUUACCCGCAGAAGAAGCACCGGCUAACUCCGUGCCAGCAGCCGCGGUAAUACGGAGGGUGCAAGCGUUAAUCGGAAUUACUGGGCGUAAAGCGCACGCAGGCGGUCUGUUAAGUCAGAUGUGAAAUCCCCGGGCUUAACCUGGGAACUGCAUUUUGAACUGGCAGGCUUGAGUCUCGUAGAGGGGGUAGAAUUCCAGGUGUAGCGGUGAAAUGCGUAGAGAUCUGGAGGAAUACCGGUGGCGAAGGCGGCCCCUGGGACGAAGACUGACGCUCAGGGUGCGAAAGCGUGGGGAGCAAACAGGGAUUAGGAUACC